Molecule: non-coding RNA, 135 nt
Organism: Triticum urartu
Lineage: Eukaryota; Viridiplantae; Streptophyta; Magnoliopsida; Poales; Poaceae
Source: Rfam
AUACUACUCCCUCCGUCCCAAAAUUCCCUUCUUAGAUUUGUCUACAUACGGAUGUAUCUAACAAUAAAAUGUGAAUAGAUACAUCCGUAUCUAGAUAAAUCUAAGACAAGAAUUUUGAGAUGGAGGGGGUACAUC